This is a long non-coding RNA of Diuraphis noxia (Russian wheat aphid), 416 nucleotides long. NCBI's taxonomy places the organism in Eukaryota, Metazoa, Arthropoda, Insecta, Hemiptera, Aphididae. The record is from RefSeq and is a predicted model, not a curated record.
CUAUCUACGUAAUAAUAUGACUAGUACGUAGUCUGUUCUUUGGUCGAUCAUAGUACGAAUACAGCUUGUAUAGGUGGUGCAUAAUAACAUCAACGUUGACUAAAUACCUGUAUUCUGCAACAUUAAUUUAUUUUGAAGACUCAACAUUAUAAUAUGUUGUACAGUUGUAUUGAUAUUAUUAUCUUUUAUAUCAUAUGAAUAUUUUUCAGUGUUCAGUGACGUUCAUUUGUUUAAUCUAAUAUAUUAAUAUAUUUAUUGUUGAUCCUUCAAAAGUUUGCUACAAUAUUAUUUCAUUAUUGGCCAUGAAGGUGCCGUAUUCUUGGUUAAUAACAUAUUCAUGUUUAAUUUUUGGAACAGGCAUUUUAUGUGACAGAAAACUAGAAAAACGUCAAAUUGUAUCAUCUUGCUCAGUGUUG